RNAcentral lists this ribosomal RNA (753 nucleotides) under Candidatus Phytoplasma solani. RNAcentral's name for it is "bacterial SSU rRNA". It matches the Rfam family "Bacterial small subunit ribosomal RNA", at positions 775 to 1532 of the family's 1533-position model. The record is from RNAcentral. Lineage: Bacteria; Bacillati; Mycoplasmatota; Mollicutes; Acholeplasmatales; Acholeplasmataceae.
GGAUUAGAUACCCUGGUAGUCCACGCCCUAAACGAUGAGUACUAAACGUUGGAUAAAACCAGUGUUGAAGUUAACACAUUAAGUACUCCGCCUGAGUAGUACGUACGCAAGUAUGAAACUUAAAGGAAUUGACGGGACUCCGCACAAGCGGUGGAUCAUGUUGUUUAAUUCGAAGGUACCCGAAAAACCUCACCAGGUCUUGACAUGCUUUUGCAAAGCUGUAGAAAUACAGUGGAGGUUAUCAGAAGCACAGGUGGUGCAUGGUUGUCGUCAGCUCGUGUCGUGAGAUGUUGGGUUAAGUCCCGCAACGAGCGUAACCCUUGUUGUUAAUUGCCAUCAUUAAGUUGGGGACUUUAGCAAGACUGCCAAUGAUAAAUUGGAGGAAGGUGGGGACGACGUCAAAUCAUCAUGCCCCUUAUGACCUGGGCUACAAACGUGAUACAAUGGCUGUUACAAAGGGUAGCUAAAGCGUAAGCUUCUGGCGAAUCUCAAAAAAGCAGUCUCAGUUCGGAUUGAAGUCUGCAACUCGACUUCAUGAAGUUGGAAUCGCUAGUAAUCGCGAAUCAGCAUGUCGCGGUGAAUACGUUCUCGGGGUUUGUACACACCGCCCGUCAAACCACGAAAGUUGGCAAUACCCAAAGCCGGUGGCCUAACUUGAGCAAUCAAGAAGGAGCCGUCUAAGGUAGGGUUGAUGAUUGGGGUUAAGUCGUAACAAGGUAUCCCUACCGGAAGGUGGGGAUGGAUCACCUCCUU